Molecule: ribosomal RNA, 2706 nt
Filed under: Dioscorea alata (purple yam)
Lineage: Eukaryota; Viridiplantae; Streptophyta; Magnoliopsida; Dioscoreales; Dioscoreaceae
Description: eukaryotic LSU rRNA
Rfam family: Eukaryotic large subunit ribosomal RNA
Source: RNAcentral
ACCACACCAAGUCAGGCGGGGCCACCCGCUGAGUUUAAGCAUAUCAAAAAGCGGAGGGAAAGAAACUUAUGAUGAUUCCCCUAGUAACGUCGAACGAACUGGGAAGAGCCCAGCUUGAGAAUCGGGUGAUGACAGCGCCUGAAUCUUAGUUGCAGAAGCGUCCUCAGCGACGGAUCGGGCCCAAGUCCCCUAGACAGGGGUGCUGGAGAGGGUGAGAACCCCGUCGUGCCUGGACACUACUGCACCACGAGACGCAGUCGGGGAGUCGGGUUGUUUGCGAAUGCAGCCCCAAUCGGGCGGUAAAUUCCGUCCAAUGCUGAAUACGGGCGACAGACCGAUAGCGAACAAGUACCGUGAGGGAAAGAUGAAAAGGACUUUGAAAAGAGAGUCAAAGAGUGCAUGAAAUUGCCGGGACAGAAGCUGAUGGGAACGGCGAUGCGGCCCUGCCGAAUGCGGAACGGGGACGAGGAAGCUGAAGCGCAGGAUGCGGGCCUCGCUAGCGGCUGUAGCCCGGGCGGAUAACCACGCCUGAGGAAACGUCGUCGGCGCGGCCGUUGUCGCAGCGCGUGCCAAGCCCUCGGUGUGUCCACCAGCGCAUGGGCACGCUCUAGGCACCGGUCCGCCGGCCCCCUAUCCAACCAGUCUUGAAACACGGACCAAGGAGUCUGAUAUGCGUGUGAGCCAACGGGCACAGAAACUCGUAAGGCGCAAGGAAGCUGAAGCACAGGAUCUCGCCCAAGGGGUGCACCGCUAACCGACCCCGAUCUUCUGUGAAGGGUUUGAGUUGGAGCAUGCCUAUCAGGACCCGAAAAUGGUGAACUAUACCUGAGCGGGGCAUAGCCAGAGGAAACUCUGGUAGAGGCCCGUAGCAAUACUGACGUGCAAAUCGUUCGUCUGACUUGGGUAUAGGGGCGAAAGACUAAACGAACCAUCUAGUAACUGGUUCCCUCCGAAGUCUCCCUCAGGAUAGCUGGAGCCCGUACGCGAGUUCUAUAGGGUAAAGCCAAUGAUUAGAGGCAUCGGGGGCGCAACUCCCUCGACCUAUUCUCAAACUUUAAAUAGGUAGGACGGCGCGGCUGCUCUGGUGAGCCACGCCACGGAAUCGAGAGCUCCAAAUGGGCCAUUUUUGGUAAGCAGAACUGGCGAUGCGGGAUGAACCAGAAACUGGGUUAUGGUGCCCGACUGCGCGCUAACCCAGAAUCCACAAAGGGUUUUGGUCGAUUAAGACAGCAGGAUGGUGGUCAUGGAAGUUGAAAUCUGCUGAGUGUGUAACAACUCACCUACCGAAUCAACUAGCCCCGAAAAUGGAUGGCGCUGAAGCGCGCGACCCACAAUCGGUCAUCGGGGCGAGCGCUGGCCGCGAAGCCCGGGGCGCGUGCCCGGGCGGAGCGACCGCCGAUGCCGAUCUUGGUGGUAGUAGCAAAUAUUUAAAUAAGAACUUUAAAGGCCGAAGAUGGGAAAGGUUAAAUGUGAACGGCACUUGCACAUGGCUUAGCCGAUCCUAAGGGACGGGGGAGGCCCGUCAGAGAGCGCAUCCGCGAGUGAGCUCCGAAAGGGAAUCGGGUUAAAAUUCCCGAGCCGGGACAUGGGCGGGUGACGGCUACGUUAGGGAGUCCGGAGACGCCGGCGGGGGCCUCGGGGAGAGUUAUCUUUUCUGCUUAACGGCCGACCCACACUGAAAACGGCUCAGCCGGAGGUAGGGUCCAGCGGCCAGAAGAGCACCGCACGUCGCGUGGUGUCCGGUGCGCACACAAGGCCCAUGAAAAUCUGGAGGACCGAGUGCCACCCACGCCCGGUCGUACUCAUAACCGCAUCAAGUCUCCAAGGUGAACUGCCUCCGGCCGAUGGAACAAUGUAGGCAAGGGAAGUCGGCAAAACGGAUCUGUAACUUCGGGAAAAAGGAUUGGCUCUGCGGGCUUGGCACGGGGGUCCCAGCCUCGAACCCAUCGGCUGUCGGAGGACGGCUCGAGCUGCAUCCGCGGCGAGAGCGGGCCACCAUGUGCCGGCCGGGGGAUGGACCGGGAACGGCCUGCGAGCCGAACAGGCGUCUCAGAACUGGUAUGGAAAAGUAGAAUCUGACUGUUUCAAACAAAGCAUUGCGAUGGUCCCCGCGGAUGCUCACGCAAUGUGAUUUCUGCACAGUCCUCUGAAUGUCAAAGUGAAGAAAUUCAACCAAGCGCAGGUAAACGGCAGGAGUAACUAUGACUCUCUUAAGGUAGCCAAAUGCCUCGUCAUCUAAUUAUUGACGUACAUGAAUGGAUUAACGAGAUUCCCACUAUCCCUGUACUGGAGGUGGGGCUCCGCCCCUCCUUUUGGCUCCAAAGACGCGCCCCGCGCGCGGCCGAUCUGAUCAGAAGCCAUUGUCAGGUGGGGAGUUUGGUUGGUGUGGCACAUCUGCUAAAAGAUAAUGCAGGUGUCCUAAGAUGAGCUCAAUGACAAUAGAAAUCUCGUGAGGCACGAAAGGGUAAAAGCUCGUUUGAUUCUGAUUUCCAGUACGAAUAAGAACCACGAAAGCGUGGCCUAUUGAUCCUUGAGCCCUUCGGGAUUUGAAGCAAGAGGUGUCAGAAAAGUUACCACAGGGAUAACUAGCUUGUGGCAGCUAAGUGAUAAGUGCUCAUAGUAUAGUAACGCAAAGCGUUAUUAUCUUACAAUGAACAUAUUUUUUAUUAGAUUUUAUCACUAAAUUGUGUGCAUUUGUGUAUUGUU